RNAcentral lists this transfer RNA (73 nucleotides) under Cordylochernes scorpioides. RNAcentral describes it as "tRNA-Thr". It matches the Rfam family "tRNA". From Rfam's summary of the family: Transfer RNA (tRNA) molecules are approximately 80 nucleotides in length. Lineage: Eukaryota; Metazoa; Arthropoda; Arachnida; Pseudoscorpiones; Chernetidae. The record is from RNAcentral.
UCCAGGGUAGCCUAGUGGACAUGGCAUCUGCUCGGUAAGCGGAACACUGUGGGUUCGAUUCCCAUUCCUGGAU